Molecule: long non-coding RNA, 607 nt
Filed under: Paramuricea clavata
Lineage: Eukaryota; Metazoa; Cnidaria; Anthozoa; Malacalcyonacea; Plexauridae
Source: RNAcentral
AUUAUUCUACAGAAUAAUUCCAUGGAUGAUGUGUCAAUCUAGUAUGAACUAAUGUACACAGAAUACAAAGUGUCAUUUGGCAAUGAUAUAAAUUGUUCCAAUGAUGCCAUUACUGUUGCUACCAAAAGUUGAUAAGAAACAUUGGAAGUGGAACAUUGCCUACAAGUACAACUCCAGAAAGAAUUUCAAUGGACGGUGCUGUAAACUAGAACUUGGACAUUGAUAGUUUAGAUCAGGACAAUAUUGCAUAUGCAAUUCCAGCUUUUAGUUUUGUGUGCAGGGGACGAUGGGAAGUAAGGUAUCACAUUGCUGAUUAUGCUGAAAAAAUAAAAAUGAUGGCCGUGUAAACACGGAGUGAUAGCUUAUACUUGUAAGUAUUGAAAUAUUUUGGUUGCUUCGGUAGUUUUUAUUGAAAUUUUUCAGCAUAAUCAGCACUAUGAUAGCUUACUUCCUAUCAUCCCCUGCAGGCAUAAACUAAAAGCUGGAAUUGCCUAUUUGAUGCUAUUGAAGCUCUUGUAUCCAGAAGAGAUAUUAUUGUUCAUUGUUGUGGUCCCAACUGGCUGCCAAAACAAAGGCAUCUGUUUGAGUUGAUUAAUUAGGUAUAUCU